CCCCGCCAGGAUGGAGCCCGCCAAGCUCCCCGCCGCCAAGAGACCGGCUCCGGCGCCCCCCGUCCCGGCCAAAACCAAGCCGGSCCCCGGCAAGCCCUGCGUCCCCAACGGCGAGCGGAGCAAGGCCAGCGACCCAGACACCGACGGCUUCGGCGCCCUGCAGGUCUGCACGGCCCCGCUGAGCCACCCGACCGCCAGGCGCCCCAGGGUGCCGGGCAAGCGGCUGCCCAGCCUCCCCGUGGACCAGCAGCUCUGGGUGCUGCAGCCGCGCGAUGGCGAGGAGGAGCGGCCGCCCGGCGGGAUGCCACCCUGCUCCCAUCUCCCCGCGGCGGCGCUGGGCACGGAGGUGCCUGUCCCGCCGCAGGGCCGGGAGCUGCCGGAUGAGCGGCAGGCGCUGGAGGACCUGAAGGCRGAGGUGCGCUCCCUGCACAUCCUGGUGGACCUGAUGCGAUCCCAGCACCUGCGGGACCUGGAGGACAUGAGGCUGGAGCUGUGCCAGGAGCGGGCCAAGCGCCAGGCGCUGCAGGCGGAGAUCGAGCGGGUGAAGACGGCGCUGCCCUGCUAGAGCCACGCGACGUUGGCGGCGGUGCCACCCCCCCCCC
Molecule: long non-coding RNA, 602 nt
Filed under: Apteryx owenii (little spotted kiwi)
Lineage: Eukaryota; Metazoa; Chordata; Aves; Apterygiformes; Apterygidae
Description: lncRNA (ENSAOWG00000009752.1)
Source: RNAcentral